Molecule: ribosomal RNA, 869 nt
Filed under: uncultured archaeon
Lineage: Archaea
Description: bacterial SSU rRNA
Rfam family: Archaeal small subunit ribosomal RNA
Source: RNAcentral
CUCCGGUUGAUCCCGCCGGACCCGACUGCUAUCAGAGUGGGACUAAGCCAUGCGAGUCAACAUAGCAAUAUGUGGCAUACGGCUCAGUAACACGUAGUCAACAUGCCCAGGGGACGUGGAUAACCUCGGGAAACUGAGGAUAAACCGCGAUAAGUCACUACUUCUGGAAUGGGUAAUGACUCAAAUCUACAUGGCCCCUGGAUUGGACUGCGGCCGAUCAGGCUGUUGGUGAGGUAAUGGCCCACCAAACCUGUAACCGGUACGGGCUCUGAGAGGAGGAGCCCGGAGAUGGGCACUGAGACAAGGGCCCAGGCCCUAUGGGGCGCAGCAGGCGCGAAACCUCUGCAAUAGGCGAAAGCCUGACAGGGUUACUCUGAGUGAUUUCCGUUAAGGAGAUCUUUUGGCACCUCUAAAAAUGGUGCAGAAUAAGGGGUGGGCAAGUCUGGUGUCAGCCGCCGCGGUAAUACCAGCACCCCGAGUGGUCGGGACGUUUAUUGGGCCUAAAGCAUCCGUAGCCGGUUCUACAAGUCUUCCGUUAAAUCCACCUGCUUAACAGAUGGGCUGCGGAAGAUACUAUAGAGCUAGGAGGCGGGAGAGGCAAGCGGUACUCGAUGGGUAGGGGUAAAAUCCGUUGAUCCAUUGAAGACCACCAGUGGCGAAGGCGGCUUGCCAGAACGCGCUCGACGGUGAGGGAUGAAAGCUGAGGGAGCAAACCGGAUUAGAUACCCGGGUAGUCCCAGCUGUAAACGAUGCAGACUCGGUGAUGAGUUGGCUUAUUGCUAACUCAGUGCCGCAGGGAAGCCGUUAAGUUUGCCGCCUGGGGAGUACGGUCGCAAGACUGAAACUUAAAGGAAUUGGCGGGGGAAGCA